AGUGAACGCUGGCGGUAGGCCUAACACAUGCAAGUCGAACGGCAGCACAGUAAGAGCUUGCUCUUACGGGUGGCGAGUGGCGGACGGGUGAGGAAUACAUCGGAAUCUACUUUUUCGUGGGGGAUAACGUAGGGAAACUUACGCUAAUACCGCAUACGACCUACGGGUGAAAGCAGGGGAUCUUCGGACCUUGCGCGAUUAAAUGAGCCGAUGUCGGAUUAGCUAGUUGGCGGGGUAAAGGCCCACCAAGGCGACGAUCCGUAGCUGGUCUGAGAGGAUGAUCAGCCACACUGGAACUGAGAAACGGUCCAGACUCCUACGGGAGGCAGCAGUGGGGAAUAUUGGACAAUGGGCGCAAGCCUGAUCCAGCCAUACCGCGUGGGUGAAGAAGGCCUUCGGGUUGUAAAGCCCUUUUGUUGGGAAAGAAAAGCAGCAGGUUAAUACCCCGCUGUUCUGACGGUACCCAAAGAAUAAGCACCGGCUAACUUCGUG
Molecule: ribosomal RNA, 492 nt
Filed under: uncultured bacterium
Lineage: Bacteria
Description: partial 16S ribosomal RNA
Rfam family: Bacterial small subunit ribosomal RNA
Source: RNAcentral